Molecule: long non-coding RNA, 848 nt
Organism: Symphalangus syndactylus (siamang)
Lineage: Eukaryota; Metazoa; Chordata; Mammalia; Primates; Hylobatidae
Source: RefSeq, a predicted model, not a curated record
CUGUCAUCUUCAUUAGAUUGUUUAUAUUCAGCUUGGUGUCAGACUUUGGGAACGACAUCCAGUGCUUUGUGGCUGUUAGACGGUCCUAGAUAAGCUGAUGAAACUUGAACUCAGAACUGUGGUGGACAUUCUUAGGGAAGGUGAUUUGCCACACGACCAGGACCUACAUCUUGUUAACGAGGAACCCAAAUGGAAUCAAGGAGUGGAAAAAAUCGGUUUCUUAUGCCUCUGCACUUCACCUUUCUCCUGUUCAUCCCACUCUGCCAUCAUUGCCUGCUUACCUCCGAAUUGCCCACAACAGUGCAGUCUGAGCACGGACCACACCUCCCAUGCAGCGGUGGCUUUGUGAUCUGUCCACAUGGGAGGCGGAUGUUUUUCUGAGUCUCAGAGUCCCUAUCUGAAUAGUGAAGAGGAAAGCUGUCUAUAUCUUCUUCCAGCACUGCAGAUCCCCAGGACGAAGCUUUUUGAAUUAAGGAAAUGAUGCAGGAUAAGAAGACUUAAUCAGGAGAGAGCAUCAGAGAUGAGAACAGAGGUUCGUAAACCCUCAAGAAUGGGUACAACUUUGGCAGAGGCCACAUCACAUCAGAGAACUAUCAACAUGCCCGACUUGGCCAUCAGGAAAAGAAACCACAUCAGUUAAAUGCAAAUUCAUAGGCACAAUGACACACACAAAAACUGCACAACGUGAAAGGGACAUGACUGGCCAGUGUGGCCAGAGCAAAAGUCUUUCCCAAGCCCAAGUCCCUGGGUCAACAUGGGGCCUGCAAAGUUAGAGGAACUUUGUUGGAGCCAGAGUCUGAAUUCACGCAGUCUGAAUUCACCGAGCCUUCCCCGUCCCUCACCUGUGU